Lathyrus oleraceus (garden pea) is the source of this 859-nucleotide long non-coding RNA. RefSeq lists it as uncharacterized. The record is from RefSeq and is a predicted model, not a curated record. The transcript has 2 exons. Lineage: Eukaryota; Viridiplantae; Streptophyta; Magnoliopsida; Fabales; Fabaceae.
CAAAAAACAGCCAAUCGCAUGGGGGGUGCUGAUAGGGAUUAAUGGGCCAAAUCUGGAAGGCCCGAAAUAGACCCAUCUAGGUUAAACUUAAAACAAAAAAAGGGAAAAGGCAUCGUUGCUUUCUCAAUAGCCUUUCCCUUUCUGCAGUUUUCAAUCGUUCCAAAACUUAGCAAACCCUAAAAAGUUUCUUUCCUCCCGGAGAAGACCGCCGAAGGCGACGGCUUACGGUGGAGCCUCCCUUCUUCUCCGGCCACCCUCCUCAAAACACAACUUAACCCUCUAAAUACCCCCUUUCGAGUUCGAAUCCAACCUCUAAAAAUCCCUAAACCCUUAACACAAAACCGAUUCACCCUGAGCCGACGAGUACGAAGAACAACCAAGAAAGAUCAAACGAGGAAGGAUCGAAGUCUGAAUCGAGGAUUCCAAAGAACGAAAUGCUAAGGGGUUCGCUCAAACCGGAGCUCAAACGACAAACACCCAGGAGCGAGCAAACGAGAUAGACAGUGCGAAAUCCAGUAUAAAUGAAGAUUAUGCAAGUUCUUUUUAAAACGAGAGGCAAGGGGUUUUACCGUCCAGUAGGGCUUUCAGGUUACAACUUGAAGUGACUUUGAUGGGAUGGGAGGUGGUUGCGUGAAGCUUCAAGGAAGCAAGUUUGAGGCGUACCAGUUCCAAGGAAGGUUCAACGGUCUCUGGCUUUGGUCUCUUGGGGCAAUGGUUCUUAUCAAUUGAAAUUGCAACAGCUUUUAUUAAAUUAAGAUGUAAUCAAUUAAGUAUUUAGGUUAAAUGUAUAUUUGGACUAUUUGUAACCUAUUGGAUUUAAAAUCUGUUUAUGUAAUUACCUUUUUUUUAAGCAUUCAAA